CCCCGGGCUCAACCCGGGAACUGCAUNCCAAACUGGGUAUCUAGAGUGCAGGAGAGGAAAGCGGAAUUCCUAGUGUAGCGGUGAAAUGCGUAGAUAUUAGGAGGAACACCAGUGGCGAAGGCGGCUUUCUGGACUGUAACUGACACUGAGGCAUGAAAGCGUGGGUAGCAAACAGGAUUAGAUACCCUGGUAGUCCACGCCGUAAACGAUGGGUACUAGGUGUAGGAGGUAUCGACCCCUUCUGUGCCGUCGUUAACACAAUAAGUACCCCGCCUGGGGAGUACGGUCGCAAGACUAAAACUCAAAGGAAUUGACGGGGGCCCGCACAAGCAGCGGAGCAUGUGGUUUAAUUCGAAGCAACGCGAAGAACCUUACCUAGACUUGACAUCUCCUGAAUUACCCUUAACCGGGGAAGCCCUUCGGGGCAGGAAGACAGGUGGUGCAUGGUUGUCGUCAGCUCGUGUCGUGAGAUGUUGGGUUAGGUCCCGCAACGAGCGCAACCCUUAUUUUUAGUUGCUACCAUUCAGUUGAGCACUCUAAAGAGACUGCCCGGGUUAACCGGGAGGAAGGUGGGGAUGACGUCAAAUCAUCAUGCCCCUUAUGUCUAGGGCUACACACGUGCUACAAUGGUGAGAACAAAGAGACGCGAGACCGCGAGGUGGAGCAAAUCUCAUAAAACUCAUCCCAGUUCGGAUUGCAGGCUGAAACUCGCCUGCAUGAAGCCGGAGUUGCUAGUAAUCGCGAAUCAGCAUGUCGCGGUGAAUACGUUCCCGGGCCUUGUACACACCGCCCGUCACACCAUGAGAGUUGGCAAUACCCGAAGUCCGUGGGGCAACCAGCAAUGGAGCCAGCGGCCGAAGGUAGGGUCAGCGAUUGGGGUGAAGUCGUAACAAGGUAACC
RNAcentral lists this ribosomal RNA (900 nucleotides) under uncultured Clostridium sp. RNAcentral describes it as "bacterial SSU rRNA". It matches the Rfam family "Bacterial small subunit ribosomal RNA", at positions 601 to 1501 of the family's 1533-position model. The record is from RNAcentral. Lineage: Bacteria; Bacillati; Bacillota; Clostridia; Eubacteriales; Clostridiaceae.